This 253-nucleotide ribosomal RNA is filed under the name uncultured bacterium. RNAcentral's name for it is "partial 16S ribosomal RNA". It matches the Rfam family "Bacterial small subunit ribosomal RNA", at positions 524 to 776 of the family's 1533-position model. The record is from RNAcentral.
GACGAGGGAUCCUAGCGUCGUUCGGAAUCAUUGGGCGUAAAGCGGGUGCAGGUGGCUUUGUAAGUCAGGUGUGAAAUCCCAGGGCUCAACCCUGGAAGUGCAUUUGAUACUGCGAAGCUUGAGUGUGGGAGAGGUUACUAGAAUUCCUGGUGUAGUGGUGAAAUACGUAGAUAUCAGGAGGAAUACCGGAGGCGAAGGCGGGUAACUGGCCCAACACUGACACUGAAACCCGAAAGCGUGGGGAUCAAACAGG